GUGCCGAGGAGAUCCAGAGGGUGGUGCUGUCAGUCAAUGACAAGUGGCACUACUGUCAGAACUCCGACAUCCUGGUGGGCUCCCGGGCCAUGAGGGACCGGCACCUGCGGCUGCUAGGCUACUGUCUGGUGCAGCUGCCUUACACAGAGCUGGAGAAGGUGAGUGGCAUCGAGGAGGCCAAGCACUACCUGCGGCAGAAGCUGAGGGAACUGCGCUUCUGAGGGCCGGAUCCGGGGGGUGUGGGGGGCCAGGUGGGUGCUGCCAGCCCCUUCCCCUGUGCAGGGGGAUACGGAGCUCCCCCCCAUCCUGGGGGGUCAGGGGGAUAUGGAGAUGCUCCCCAUCUUGGGGGGCCAGGCUGUGGGGCCAGGCCACGGGCACCUGCUCCUGCUGUGGGGCUGGGGGAGUGUGAGAUUUGAGAUUAUUUAUUGCCAUUAUGGGGGGCCGGGGUGUG
Molecule: non-coding RNA, 451 nt
Organism: Cyanistes caeruleus (blue tit)
Lineage: Eukaryota; Metazoa; Chordata; Aves; Passeriformes; Paridae
Source: RefSeq, a predicted model, not a curated record